AUCUGUGGAACAAGAUGGUGAGGGAUCAGGACCACUCUCACCUGGCCAACAAGGGCCUGCAGUUACCCCUGCCUACCACAGGGGGCAGUGCCACACCACCUCCUAGGAGCCCCAGCCCAAGAUGAGGAGGACAACUGACCCUCUAGAAGGUAAGGAGGUGGAGAGGUUCUUCCCCAACCCAAAUUUAAACGAGUAUUUUUUCCUUUGGCUCCAAAAGGCUAUUCCACAAAUCAUGUUCCUAAAUUACAUUCAGGGUGAGCUCCGUCUAGUGGACAGCCAACAUUUAUAGAGUGCUUCCUCUCUGUACUUUAGUUAUGAGUACUCUGAACAAAUAAUCUCAGGUCACUUUUUUGUUUGUUUGUUUAUGGGGCCAGGUGGUGACAUAGUUGGUUAAGUGCACAUGUUUCCAUGCUCCAGGAUCUUUGUCAAGCCCCUGGUCCCCACCUGCAAGGGGAAAGCUUCGCAAGUGGUGAAGGAACUGUAGGUGUCUCUGUCUUCUUUCUUUGUCCACCUUCCCUCAUCAAUUGCUCUCUGUCCUAUCAAACUGAAUAAAUAAAGUUAAAAAAAUAAAAAAGUAUUUCAAGGGGGCUGGGUGAUGACACACCUGGUUGAGCACACAUGUCACAGUGCUCAAGGACCCCAGUUCAAGCCCCCAGUCUCCACCUGCAGGAGGAAAACUUUUCCAAUGGUGAAGAAGGGGUGCAGGUGUCUCUCUGUCGCGCGCUCUCUCUCUCUUUUUUUUUUUUUUUUGCCUCCAAGGUUAUUGCUGGGGCUCAGUGCCUGCACUACAAAUCCACUGCUCCUGGAGGCUAUUUUUCCCAUUUUGUUGCCCUUGUUGUUGUGCUUGUUGUAGUUGUUAUUGUUGUCAUAGCUGUUGUUGUUGUUGGAUAGGACAGAGAGAAAUGGAGAGAGGAGGGGAAGAAAGAGAGGAGGAGACAAAGAUAGACACCUGCAGACCUGCUUUACCGCUUGCGAAGCGAUUUCCUACAAGUGGGGAGCUGGGGGCUCGAACCAGGAUCCUCACGCCAGCCCUUACGCUUUGCGCCACUGUGCACUUAACCCGCUGUACUACUGCACGACUCCCUCUCUGUUUUUAUCUCCCCCUUCCUCUCAAUUUCUGGCUGUCUAUCAAAGAUAAUAAAAAAUUAAAAGAAAAUA
Erinaceus europaeus (western European hedgehog) is the source of this 1158-nucleotide long non-coding RNA. RefSeq lists it as uncharacterized. The transcript is spliced from 2 exons. Lineage: Eukaryota; Metazoa; Chordata; Mammalia; Eulipotyphla; Erinaceidae. The record is from RefSeq and is a predicted model, not a curated record.